CAAUAGCGUAUAUUAAAGUUGUUGCGGUUAAAAGCUCGUAGUUGGACUUGUACGAAGGUUCGUUGGUCCGCCCUUUGGGUGUGUACUUUACGGUGUCCGUCGUCUCUCUGGAGAACGUUGCCAUGCUCACGCGUGGUGCGGUAUCCGGAGCAUUUACUUUGAGGAAAUUAGAGUGUUCUCGGCAGGCAUUUGCCUUGAAUAUGUUAGCAUGGAAUAAUGCGAAAAGGCCUCGGUUUUUCUUGUUGGUUUCUAACCCCGAGGUGAUGAUUAAUAUGAGCUGUUGGGGGCAUCUGUAUUUAACUGUCAGAGGUGAAAUUCUUGGAUUUGUUAAGGACAGACUAGUGCGAAAGCAUUUGCCAAAGAUGUUUUUCUUGAUCAAGAACGAAAGUUGGGGGAUCGAAGAUGAUCAGAUACCGU
Molecule: ribosomal RNA, 417 nt
Filed under: uncultured eukaryote
Lineage: Eukaryota
Description: SSU rRNA
Rfam family: Eukaryotic small subunit ribosomal RNA
Source: RNAcentral